Long non-coding RNA from Bombina bombina (fire-bellied toad), 818 nucleotides. RefSeq lists it as uncharacterized. The record is from RefSeq and is a predicted model, not a curated record. NCBI's taxonomy places the organism in Eukaryota, Metazoa, Chordata, Amphibia, Anura, Bombinatoridae. The transcript has 4 exons.
CGGAAAGGUCCCAGCGUCUAGGCGAGGUGGAAGCAAGGGGGGAAAGUGCCAAACAGCUGAGCGGCUCCGGAGUGUGACGUCAGAGACGCUGUAGAGGAGAGAGGAUCCGACUCACAAACUUGGAACACCUUUGAUGUAUUGCUGACCAAGUCUACAUCUAUGUGCUGUGCGUACCUUCCCCAGUGAGCUGGACCACUACAAAGUUCCAGUCUGCCCACUAGCACCAUUGGGUGCGCUGCGUUUGAUCUAGGAAGAGCUGCCGAGGUUGGAAAGGUCCUAGCAACUAGGCAAGGUAGAAGCAAGGGGGGAAUGCGCCAAACAGCUGAGUGGCCGGAGUGUGACGUCAGAGACGCUGUAGAGGAGAGAGGAUCCGACUCACAAACUUGGAUGCAACCUCCUUCCAAUCCAGGGAUGUAAGGAAGAUUUUGGAUUUCAACCUUUCUACGAAUUCUCAAGACAAUCACCUUCUCCCUCAGCUCCAGACUCCAUCAGUUUCAAGAGUUCCAGUUUUUUCAAGUUUCCUGGAUUUUCUUCAGUAUACCUCUCUUAUGUGGUUCUCCUAGUUUUCAGUAUUUUUUGUCUCCUUUCGGAGUUUUGUUUUUUCUUAUUUCCCAUGCUGAUUUUUCUCCUUUAAGCAAAUAGAAGAGGACUAAUAACGGUUUUCUGGUUUCUUUAUGGACAAUGUCAUGAUCUGAUUGGAUAUCUACUAACUGUCAAUAUGUUAUUUACAUGUUAUUGGUCAUGUUAAAGUUUUUUCUGUUAUUUCUGUUUAACUUUAAAAAUGCUAUUUGAGUAAUAAAAGGAAAAGUAAUGCAAAA